RNAcentral lists this ribosomal RNA (275 nucleotides) under uncultured bacterium. Its description in RNAcentral is "partial 16S ribosomal RNA". It matches the Rfam family "Bacterial small subunit ribosomal RNA", at positions 79 to 353 of the family's 1533-position model. The record is from RNAcentral.
CUAAGUUUGAUGGCGACCGGCGCACGGGUGAGUAACACGUAUCCAACCUGCCGAUGACUCGGGGAUAGCCUUUCGAAAGAAAGAUUAAUACCCGAUGGCAUAGUUCUUCCGCAUGGUAGAACUAUUAAAGAAUUUCGGUCAUCGAUGGGGAUGCGUUCCAUUAGGUUGUUGGCGGGGUAACGGCCCACCAAGCCUUCGACGGAUAGGGGUUCUGAGAGGAAGGUCCCCCACAUUGGAACUGAGACACGGCCCAAACUCCUACGGGAGGCAGCAUG